ACUAAUUCAUGGUCACUACAUGUGGGUUACCCUGGUAUUACUCUUUCAGUACAGACACAAACUAUUUUGCCACAAUUAAUGUUUUGGUCAACAAUGUGCAGACUUAAAGCCCUGAGUUAUAUGACUAGGCAAAUAAAACCAGACCACAAAAUUUGGUCUACCCUGGUUGGCUAUGAUUCACCCAUAUGGGCAAGCCAGCAGCAGGCUUGCUGCUAUCCCAACAACCCUAGGAAAAUCAGACUGUCAUAUUAUACUUCUUUGUCCCUUUAUACAGAUGCAGAGUCAGUCUGUUGAAAUUGUGGAGCUCAAAUAUUUAACUUGUGUAAUGCAGUGGAACAAUUUCAACAGGUAGAGAUUAGUCAAGUGUCCAAACUGAAAAACAUUCACACAUCACUUAGAGAAGUGUGAGGUUCUGGCCAUUAUCGCAGGAAGGGAGCAGCUUGGGAAUCCAUGAUAUUUACGGAUUCCAAAAAAUUAGUUAUAAUAGGUCUCUCAUUUUUUAGGAGGCUCAAACUGAAAACUGAAAAUUAUUGAUUUUAUGAAUAAAUAUAUUUUCUUAAAUGAUUUAGAAAGCUCUGUUUAUUCAUUUACCGACAGUGUUUAGAAUAUAUAGUAGCCAGUAUGUCUGCAGAUAUAUUUAUGUUGGACUGUUUGGCUUGGCUUCACCUCUGUAAUAAUUUAUAACAGUUUCAAUGUAAACCCACCACUGAACAGGUCAAGAAGGUCCCGGAUUUUAACCAUCGUCGUUGUAGAUAAACCCCCAGCACUGUUCCCACCACAGAGUUCCAGCUCAUCCCUCACUAUCAGGCCUGUGAAAAGUUUUCACUUAGGAAAGUUUAAAUGUUAAGGAAUUUUAAUUCAUUUUCUUGUUUCACAUCUUUGUGUUCCCUUUUAAAAGCAGGUUAUAUUUAGUUUUAAGAAAUAGAUCUUUAGAGACCCUAUUGAAUUAAAAAUUUUAUUUUCUCAUGAUUUUUAAAUUGAUGAAAAAGGCUAAUCUUUAUGCAUUUACUUAUGCUGCAUCUGAGUAAUUGACAGAUACUGGCCUUAAAAACUGAGAAAAUAACUGACUUUCAGACAUUCUCUUAAUAUGUGUCAUAUUCAGUCAGCUGAUGAGACUCAUCAGUGUUUGGACUAUAGUUUUGCUGUCAUUAAUUUUUCUGGAUUUUCUAGAUAUUUUAUAUUAGAUUUAUGUAUACUUCUAGAUAUAAUGUUGACAGACUCUUACUGUCAAAACAUCUUUAUUGUUAAUAUCUUAUAUUUCAGUUAUGAAAUCAGUAAAACUCCUUUAAUAAAAUUUAAAAAUGUUUGUUUUAACUACCCAUAUAAUAUAUGUAUUAUUUUGGCAAGUAGAAGAAAUAGUGUCUUUCCCAAGGAAGAAAAUCCAACUUUUUAAAUAGCUUACAAUAUGCAUUUGAGACAGAAUGAGCAUUUUAGAGGGAGAUUAAACUGGUAAGAAAGGACUACUUAGCAGUGAGCAAAAUGUAUAGAGUCCUGGAUCUUAUGGUGAAUAAUCCCUGUAAAAGAUGUUUCAUAAUUAGGAAACUUUUAUAUCACUAGUGUGUUGACAAACUGGUUGUCACACUCUGUUUAGGUAACAUUUAUUGUUCCUACAUUUGUUCAUCUACUUAUUCAAAAAAUAUUUAUUAGGCAUCUAUUCUAAAUUCUGGCAGUAUUUUCUUCUUGCAUGGUUUUGGAAAGUAGGCGUUGUUACCUCAGGAGAAUCGCUUGAACUGGGGAAGCAGAAGUUGCAGUGAGCCGAGACUGCACCACUGCACUCUAACCUGGGCAACAAAGUGAGACUCCAUCUCA
This 1809-nucleotide long non-coding RNA is filed under the name Homo sapiens (human). Its description in RNAcentral is "HSALNT0318389". Lineage: Eukaryota; Metazoa; Chordata; Mammalia; Primates; Hominidae. The record is from RNAcentral.